Molecule: non-coding RNA, 21 nt
Organism: Caenorhabditis elegans
Lineage: Eukaryota; Metazoa; Nematoda; Chromadorea; Rhabditida; Rhabditidae
Source: Ensembl
UUGUUGGCCUUCGAACGGAAC